UUCCGGUUGAUCCCGCCGGACCUGACUGCUAUCGGAUUGAUACUAAGCCAUGCGAGUCUUUGCAGUAAUGCAAGGCAUACGGCUCAGUAACACGUAGUCAACUUACCCUAUGGACGAGGAUAAUCUCGGGAAACUGAGCAUAAUACUCGAUAGAUCAUAAUGCCUGGAAUGGUUUAUGGUUGAAAUGAUUCGUCGCCAUAGGAUGGGACUGCGGCCUAUCAGCUUGUUGGUGAGGUAAUGGCCCACCAAGGCGAUUACAGGUACGGGCUCUGAGAGGAGAAGCCCGGAGAUGGGUACUGAGACAAGGACCCAGGCCCUAUGGGGCGCAGCAGGCGAGAAAACUUUGCAAUGUACGAAAGCACGACAAGGUUAAUCCGAGUGAUUUCUGCUAAAGAAAUCUUUUGCAAGUCAUAAAACCACUAGUGAAUAAGGGGUGGGCAAGUUCUGGUGUCAGCCGCCGCGGUAAAACCAGCACCUCAAGUGGUCAGGAGGAUUAUUGGGCCUAAAGCAUCCGUAGCCGGCUCUGUAAGUUUUCGGUUAAAUCCAUGUGCUCAACGCAUGGGCUGCCGAAAAUACUGCAUAGCUAGGGAGUGGGAGAGGUAGACGGUACUCGGUAGGAAGGGGUAAAAUCCUUUGAUCUAUCGAUGACCACCUGUGGCGAAGGCGGUCUACCAGAACACGUUCGACGGUGAGGGAUGAAAGCUGGGGGAGCAAACCGGAUUAGAUACCCGGGUAGUCCCAGCUGUAAACGAUGCAGACUCGAUGAUGCAUUGGCAUAUAGCCAGUGCAGUGUCGCAGGGAAGCCGUUAAGUCUGCCGCCUGGGAAGUACGUACGCAAGUAUGAAACUUAAAGGAAUUGGCGGGGGAGCACCACAAGGGGUGAAGCCUGCGGUUCAAUUGGAAUCAACGCCGGA
This 914-nucleotide ribosomal RNA is filed under the name uncultured archaeon. RNAcentral's name for it is "bacterial SSU rRNA". It matches the Rfam family "Archaeal small subunit ribosomal RNA", at positions 1 to 922 of the family's 1478-position model. The record is from RNAcentral.